AUUGAACGCUGGCGGCAGGCCUAACACAUGCAAGUCGAACGAGUGGCGGACGGGUGAGUAAUGUCUGGGAAACUGCCCGAUGGAGGGGGAUAACUACUGGAAACGGUAGAUAAUACCGCAUACCAUCGGAUGUGCCCAGAUGGGAUUCGCUAGUAGGUGGGGUAACGGCUCACCUAGGCGACGAUCCCUAGCUGGUAUGAGAGGAUGACCGGCCAAACGGGAACUGAGACACGGUCCAGACGCCUACGGGAGGCAGCAGUGGGGAAUAUUACCCAAUGGGCGAAAGCCUGAUGAAGCAAUGCCGCGUGUGUGAGGAGGGCCUUCGGGUUGUAAAGUUCUGUCAUCGGGGAGGCGUUACUCGCAGAGAAAGCACCGGCUAACUACGUGCCAGCAGCCGCGGUAAUAC
RNAcentral lists this ribosomal RNA (406 nucleotides) under uncultured bacterium. RNAcentral describes it as "partial 16S ribosomal RNA". It matches the Rfam family "Bacterial small subunit ribosomal RNA", at positions 30 to 526 of the family's 1533-position model. The record is from RNAcentral.